Molecule: ribosomal RNA, 518 nt
Filed under: uncultured bacterium
Lineage: Bacteria
Description: bacterial SSU rRNA
Rfam family: Bacterial small subunit ribosomal RNA
Source: RNAcentral
GACGAACGCUGGCGGCGUGCUUAACACAUGCAAGUCGAACGGUCCGACAGUGAGCUUGGAGAUAGUUUACUAUUGAAGAGCACAUUGAAGGAUAGUGGCGGAUGGGUGAGUAACACGUGGAUAAUCUGCCUGUAACACCGGGAUAACACUGUGAAAACGGUGCUAAUACCGGAUACCUUCUCGAAGACACAAGUCCUUGAGAAGAAAGCUCCGGCGGUUACAGAUGAGUCCGCGGCUGAUUAGCUAGUUGGUGAGGUAACGGCUCACCAAGGCGAUGAUCAGUAGCCGGUCUGAGAGGAUGGGCGGCCACACUGGGACUGAGACACGGCCCAGACUCCUACGGGAGGCAGCAGUGGGGAAUUUUCCGCAAUGGGCGCAAGCCUGACGGAGCGACGCCGCGUGAGUGAAGAAGGUCUUCGGGUUGUAAAGCUCUGUCCUAUGGGAAGAAGGAAGUGACGGUACCAUANGAGGAAGCCACGGCUAACUACGUGCCAGCAGCCGCGGUAAUACGUAGGUGG